AAGUCGUAACAAGGUUUCCGUAGGUGACCUGCGGAAGGAUCAUUACCGAGUGAGGGCCCUCUGGGUCCAACCUCCCACCCGUGUUUAUCGUACCUUGUUGCUUCGGCGGGCCCGCCGUAAGGCCGCCGGGGGGCAUCUGCCCUCUGGCCCGCGCCCGCCGAAGACACCAUUGAACGCUGUCUGAAGAUUGCAGUCUGAGCAAUUAGUUAAAUAACUUAAAAACUUUCAACAACGGAUCUCUUGGUUCCGGCAUCGAUGAAGAACGCAGCGAAAUGCGAUACGUAAUGUGAAUUGCAGAAUUCAGUGAAUCAUCGAGUCUUUGAACGCACAUUGCGCCCCCUGGUAUUCCGGGGGGCAUGCCUGUCCGAGCGUCAUUGCUGCCCUCAAGCACGCUUGUGUGUUGGGCUCCGUCCUCCUCCCGGGGGACGGGCCGAAAGGCGGCGGCGGCACCGCGUCCGGUCCUCGAGCGUAUGGGGCUUCGUCACCCGCUCUGUAGGCCCGGCCGGCGCUUGCCGACACAUCAAUCUUUUUUCCAGGUUGACCUCGGAUCAGGUAGGGAUACCCGCUGAACUUAA
This 575-nucleotide ribosomal RNA is filed under the name uncultured fungus. RNAcentral's name for it is "eukaryotic LSU rRNA". The stretch from base 221 to 374 matches the Rfam family "5.8S ribosomal RNA". The record is from RNAcentral. Lineage: Eukaryota; Fungi.